This 468-nucleotide ribosomal RNA is filed under the name uncultured bacterium. Its description in RNAcentral is "partial 16S ribosomal RNA". It matches the Rfam family "Bacterial small subunit ribosomal RNA", at positions 28 to 507 of the family's 1533-position model. The record is from RNAcentral.
GACGAACGCUGGCGGCGUGCUUAACACAUGCAAGUCGAACGGAAAGGCCCUGCUUUUGUGGGGUGGUCGAGUGGCGAACGGGUGAGUAACACGUGAGUAACCUGCCCUUGACUUUGGGAUAACGUCAUGACACUGGGGCUAAUACCGGGUAGGAGCUCCUGCUGCAUGGUGGGGGCUGGAAAGUUUCGGCGGUUGGGGAUGGACUCGCGGCGUAUCAGCUUGUUGGUGGGGUAGUGGCUUAGCAAGGCAUUGACGGGUAGCAGGCCUGAGAGGGUGACCGGACCAACCAGGACGGAGAUGAGGCACAGACUCGACCCGGACGGAGGGGAGCGGUAGAGAACCCUAGACAAGGGAGCCAGAUCCAGUCUAGCCGCGUGGGGUAUGUCAGGCAUCCGGUAGUAUUGCAAAUCCGUCUGUGACGAAGAGUGAGUGACGGUAAUGGGUAAAGAAGCACCGGCUAACUACGUG